GCAAUAUUUUCAAGUAUAUUUUUAUUCCAAUAUAAAUUAUAACAAUCGUUAAUAUUUUUAUUCAUGAUGGAUUUUAUUGCACAUCGUGAAGUUGAAAUUAUGUUCGAUUGAGAAGAUAUUCGACGACUGUAAUUUGCAAGGGAUACAAGGACGUUCCUUUCGUAUUCAAUGAACUUUAGUUGCAUCUUUUGCGUAUUCGGGACGCGCCUGGUUGCAUAGAAACAAGGGAUUAGUGUGUCCUUGACAAAUUUCUGCCUUUUGUUGCGUGCUGCAUGCCAUUCAUUACGGAAUACAUGCCAAAAAACUAUUGGCCAUUAUGAAAGUUUCCAAUUCUUUGAAGUCGAAGGCUGGAAUUGUUUUGAAACACGUGUUCUGCAGAAGUCUCAGAAAAUUACAGAAAAACCAAUAGUACCAUUUUAGGAUAAAAAUCUGUGAACGUAUCGCACGUGACACAGCAUUCGUUCUUCGGCUUUGAUCUGAUAUCUUUUUGUUGGAAUAUCCGGAUUGAAGAUUAUCGAUUGAACGUGACUGACGAUCGAUUGUCUACGUCCCAACUUACCAGGGAUACACGCAUAUUUUAACCGCAAAGUGGCAGGAUUCCAAUAAACGGCGCCAGGAUGAUCGGUGAUGAAGUUGUAACGACAAUGUUUUUGACCAGAACAUCUGAAAUAUUGAAACAACAAUCAUAUAUCGCUAAAAAGAUUUAACUACUACGAACAUCUGAAUGAAUAUACAUAUUUCGAUGCAAAUGUUCAAUUUCAAUUUCUUGAAAACAAA
This is a long non-coding RNA of Frieseomelitta varia, 777 nucleotides long. RefSeq lists it as uncharacterized. The record is from RefSeq and is a predicted model, not a curated record. NCBI's taxonomy places the organism in Eukaryota, Metazoa, Arthropoda, Insecta, Hymenoptera, Apidae. The transcript has 3 exons.